GACGAACGCUGGCGGCGUGCCUAAUACAUGCAAGUUGAGCGCUGAAGGCUGGUACUUGUACCAACUGGAUGAGCAGCGAACGGGUGAGUAACGCGUGGGGAAUCUGCCUUUGAGCGGGGGACAACAUUUGGAAACGAAUGCUAAUACCGCAUAAAAACUUUAAACACAAGUUUUAAGUUUGAAAGAUGCAAUUGCAUCACUCAAAGAUGAUCCCGCGUUGUAUUAGCUAGUUGGUGAGGUAAAGGCUCACCAAGGCGAUGAUACAUAGCCGACCUGAGAGGGUGAUCGGCCACAUUGAGACUGAGACACGGCCCAAACUCCUACGGGAGGCAGCAGUAGGGAAUCUUCGGCAAUAGACGAAAGUCUGACCGAGCAACGCCGCGUGAGUGAAGAAGGUUUUCGGAUCGUAAAACUCGGUUGGUAGAGAAGAACGUUGGUGAGAGUGGAAAGCUCAUCAAGUGACGGUAACUACCCAGAAAGGGACGGCUAACUACGUG
Molecule: ribosomal RNA, 497 nt
Filed under: uncultured bacterium
Lineage: Bacteria
Description: partial 16S ribosomal RNA
Rfam family: Bacterial small subunit ribosomal RNA
Source: RNAcentral